RNAcentral lists this ribosomal RNA (642 nucleotides) under uncultured bacterium. RNAcentral's name for it is "bacterial SSU rRNA". It matches the Rfam family "Bacterial small subunit ribosomal RNA", at positions 179 to 808 of the family's 1533-position model. The record is from RNAcentral.
AUAGUUACCGCAUGGUAACUAUGUAAAAGGUGGCUAUGCUACCGCUUUUUGAUGGGCCCGCGGCGCAUUAGCUAGUUGGUGGGGUAAAGGCUUACCAAGGCAAUGAUGCGUAGCCGAACUGAGAGGUUGAUCGGCCACAUUGGGACUGAGACACGGCCCAAACUCCUACGGGAGGCAGCAGUAGGGAAUCUUCCACAAUGGGCGAAAGCCUGAUGGAGCAACGCCGCGUGGGUGAAGAAGGUCUUCGGAUCGUAAAACCCUGUUGUUAGAGAAGAAAGUGCGUGAGAGUAACUGUUCACGUUUCGACGGUAUCUAACCAGAAAGCCACGGCUAACUACGUGCCAGCAGCCGCGGUAAUACGUAGGUGGCAAGCGUUAUCCGGAUUUAUUGGGCGUAAAGGGAACGCAGGCGGUCUUUUAAGUCUGAUGUGAAAGCCUUCGGCUUAACCGGAGUAGUGCAUUGGAAACUGGGAGACUUGAGUGCAGAAGAGGAGAGUGGAACUCCAUGUGUAGCGGUGAAAUGCGUAGAUAUAUGGAAGAGCACCAGUGGCGAAAGCGGCUCUCUGGUCUGUAACUGACGCUGAGGUUCGAAAGCGUGGGUAGCAAACAGGAUUAGAUACCCUGGUAGUCCACGCCGUAAACG